GAUGAACGCUAGCGGCAGGCCUAAUACAUGCAAGUCGAACGAGAUUAAGAGGCUUGCUUCUUAUGAAAGUGGCGCACGGGUGCGUAACGCGUAUGCAACCUACCUUAAUCAGGGGGAUAGCCCGAAGAAAUUCGGAUUAAGACCGCAUAAAACCACAGGAUAGCAUUAUCCAAUGUUCAAAUAUUUAUAGGAUUAAGAUGGGCAUGCGUGUCAUUAGCUAGUUGGCGGGGUAACGGCCCACCAAGGCGACGAUGACUAGGGGAUCUGAGAGGAUGACCCCCCACACUGGUACUGAGACACGGACCAGACUCCUACGGGAGGCAGCAGUAAGGAAUAUUGGUCAAUGGAGGGAACUCUGAACCAGCCAUGCCGCGUGCAGGAAGACAGCCCUCUGGGUCGUAAACUGCUUUUAUUCGGGAAUAAACCUUUCUACGUGUAGGAAGCUGAAUGUACCGAAGGAAUAAGGAUCGGCUAACUCCGUG
This 482-nucleotide ribosomal RNA is filed under the name uncultured bacterium. Its description in RNAcentral is "partial 16S ribosomal RNA". It matches the Rfam family "Bacterial small subunit ribosomal RNA", at positions 28 to 507 of the family's 1533-position model. The record is from RNAcentral.